This 66-nucleotide transfer RNA is filed under the name Schismatogobius saurii (ninja goby). RNAcentral's name for it is "tRNA-Cys". Lineage: Eukaryota; Metazoa; Chordata; Actinopteri; Gobiiformes; Gobiidae. The record is from RNAcentral.
AGCCCUGAGGUGUUAUACACGUCAGAUUGCAAAUCUGGAGUGGCAGUGUAGCAGCUGCCGGGGCUU